UACGUAGGGAGCAAGCGUUGUCCGGAAUCAUUGGGCGCAAAGCGCGCGUAGGUGGCUUCAUAAGUCCGUUGUGAAAGUCAAAGGCUCAACCUUUGAAAGCCGAUGGAUACUGUGGAGCUAGAGUACGGAAGAGGCGAGUGGAAUUCCUGGUGUAGCGGUGGAAUGCGCAGAUAUCGGGAGGAACACCGGUGGCGAAGGCGGUUCUCUGGGCCUGUACUGACGCUGAGGAGCGAAAGCGUGGGGAGCGAACAGG
Molecule: ribosomal RNA, 253 nt
Filed under: uncultured bacterium
Lineage: Bacteria
Description: partial 16S ribosomal RNA
Rfam family: Bacterial small subunit ribosomal RNA
Source: RNAcentral